GAUAGACCUGACCAUGUUUUUGUUUGGAGGAAUGUGAAUUUUGGGACUUGGGAUUUGGAAAAUCAUGGAAUGCUUUAAGUGGGACUAAAUGGGCCAUCCUAGUAAGAAUAUGGAAGACAUAUUUGAACUCUGGAGAUAAUUCUUAUGAUGUUUUGAUGAAGAAUGUUGCUGCUUUCUGCCCUUGUCUGAAGAGUCUGUCUGAGGCUAAGGUGAAAUUUACUUAAACUUUAAUGUUUGGGCCCCCCGUACAAUAUACUAGGACAGUGUUUUGGCUUACAGGGUCUUUAGUGCUUUUAGUGAUAAAUAUGCAGAAAUUAUUGUUAAAUGUUGUUAUUGUACUUAUAGUUGCAAAGCACACUUUUUUUAUUUUUUUCUUUCUGUGAGUCUACCCAACCACAAUCUAAGUCAUUUCCGUUUCUGUGGAGGAAGAGGGAUGAUGCCUGCAAUUUGGAUUUGCAUGUGUAUUCAGGAGACAACUACGUUUUUGUGACAUGAACAAAAUCACAAAAGACGUACGAGCAUUAUUUAGCCCCUAUCCUGGAGUUCUUUGUUGAUGUGUAGUGGCCUCUCAACAUCCCUGAGUGAUGCUUGGACGGGAUCACUCUGCCCUAUUCUGAAGUGAGAGGUGAAUCCCCAAGAGCCUGUGGGUCCCGGUGACAAACCAGCUGUCCUGGUGGUGUCAAGCUGCUUUUGGUUUCCAUGAGCACUGUCAGCAUCACGUGAUCACCAGGCGAUUAGUGUCUCUUGCCUUUCACCCUGUCACUUUUUUGAUCUGCCUCUCAUUUUUCAUGUUCCACUCUUCCUCCAUUGUAUUACUCUAUGGCAUUUGACAUCAGCUGUCAUGUUUCCUGCUAGCUUCUUACGGUAGAAAACCACUAAACUCUAGUAGCUUUGCUCUAUUGUUCAGGGUUUUCUCAAAGCCACCCACAUUAUCCUGCUAGCAAAGUAGCAGAACUGAAAGAGAAUUUUUUUCAGUUUGACAUCUAGGCAUGGCUUCCUCUCCACCUGUAGCUUCUUGCUCGACUGAUUGGUGGGACUUUGCCUAGAAAUGCUGUCUAUUCCAUGUGGUUUGCUGGCCAUGCUGUAUUAACUGUAUCUGCUAUGUUUAAGCAAAUAAAUGCAAGUGUCCACGAAGAGUGGCAGUUUGGAUGCUAGUGGUAUUCUGUGGCUUGUUGCUUGCAGAUUACCUGAGGCCUCUAUGUGAACUGACUCAACCCUGGCUAUGUUGAUCUGGAAGAGAGGACCAUUUCCACCACUGACUGUAGUAAGCUCCAUGAGGACUCCCUCUGUCCAGGUUCUUUUCUUUCAUAUAUGCCAUAUGUCAUGGUCUUGAGCCUCUUCUAGAUAUCUAUACUUCUAAAUAUCUAGAUUUCUAAUCAGUCUGUUAAUUGGAGGGUUGAACAGAUGAUAUCAUUAUUGGCACUAGAGAGGAUUUAUAUUAGGAAAAACAUACAAAUUUUAUCAAAUUGAAUAUGUCAUGAGGUUAUGAUAGUAAAUGAUCAAAAUUAUAGAGAAUAAAACCACAAACUUCAGCCUUCCUCUUGGGAACUGGACCAGCCCUACACCAAAGAUUCUCAACUUGUGGUUGUGCCUCAUAUAUUUAAAUCCCUAAGCCUGUGCAAAUAUUUGUAUAUGAGUUCUUUUUCCAUUGAUCAAGGGUCCAGUUCUUAUUGAUUCCUAAGAGAGUGUAAGCCCCCCCCCAACCCUUUCCUUGUACUAUUUUUGAUAGAGACAGACUGCUUGCUCUAUAUUCAGGUCUCCUGCUAAACUUCUGACUUCUUUAUCCCCAGGUUCAUGAUGCCACUGCUUUUCUGAGGAAUAAGAUUUUUCAGUCACAUAAUUUUGAGGAGUGUUGGAGCUGAAAUACAAACCCAGCAGAACCAGUACCCCUUAUGUUUUGGGUUGCUCUGUUCUUUUCUCUAUACAGGAUCACCCUUUGGGCAGCAGCCCUUUUUAGGUGCACUAUUAUUGCCCUUUGAAGAAUCAUCCUUGUAUAGUAACUGCUUCCUAAGCAUCCUGCCUUCACUGUACUCCAGUAACCUUCCCCAGCCCUGAAGCCUAGAAGCAACCUCUCCAGACUGCUCACUCAGGGCUUUCCCAUUGCACAGCUGGCUGCGGAAAGCAGACCUUUAUCAUAACUGUGUAUUCUAGUCGGCAUAAAUGGACAAGCCUUGCAUCUGGACCAUCUCCAGGAAAUCCAUCCCAAACCCUGAAUGGUCCUGGCCCUGCUCCAAAACUGUACUAACCUCCCACAAAUUGUGAUUCCAGACACGUUUAUACCUUGGCCCCCAGGAUAAUGGAAGCCACAAAAGAGGCAGAAAUUAAAAUGUCCAUCCAGCUGGGCCCACAAUGUGGGCCAGUGAUUACAAUAGAACCAACUGUCUCUUGGGGCACCUGAGGGUAGCACACCUGUGCUUUCCAUAGUAGAAACAGAAUCAUCCAGAGAUAGUUCCUACAUGCUUAGCUAUUGUAAUUAUGAUGUGCUACUUAUCAACCAAGAUUUUAAUGAGCAAUUGGAAAAAAAAAGACCAAGUACAAAACAAUUAUGAGAAUUCUGGUGACCUUUGUCACACACCUUCCAUUGCCAUUUUAUGAAAACUAAACAACCCAAAUUAUUGUUUGAUGGAGGCUGUAAGACAAGAUAGAGUAUUGUGAAUCUCUACCAAGAAGAGUGAGGACCACUCAUAUCUUCCCAGUGACCUCGGGUCCUGAAAGGCAAGCAUUAUACGAUGCCAUUGCAGAUGGAAAGAGUAUUCACAGCAACGGUGACAGGUCUAAGAAUAAGGGAAACCAAGGACAUAGGGUGACAUAGAGUUCAAGCUAUGUAGACAUUGCCCAUCUCAGUUUUUCCUUCCAUCCUUAAUAGCCCCAGCCAUUGGCAGGAGCCACUCAUUUUACCCAAAGCUGUCUGAAGGUGCAGAGUUAAGUGCUUGCUAUGGCACAUCUGAGAGUCUUUGCUAGGCUAGGUCUGAAAGUGAGCACUCCACUUCUGGUGUGCCAAGAAGAAGCAGCUCCCUCACUCCCACCCCAAACAGCUCUUAAGCAUGGAGAGGCAGUGGUCCAGUGAACAAAGAAAUCCUGCCACCUCUCUCCCAGCAACUCACCUGUCCCCUUGUAUCUUCAUGCAGGACGGACACACAAUGUUGUGACACACCUGCUACCCACGGUUUUAUGGCUUUUGUUUUUGAACUUCCUUCUUCACUAGACUAGAUGCUUUGUGAGGACAGUUUUCACGAUCGUCCUAUCUUUAAUAUGAAAACUUUUGGGGCAGAAUAAUCAACUCAAUGAGGUUCUAGUUACUAUCACAGCAACAGCGAAUUAUUAGUGAAAAGUGGAGUUAUUGCCUGAUUUUGUUUGUUUGUUUAUUUAUUUAUUGGUGGUUUUUGUUUUAUUUUGAGACACAGUUUCUCUAUGUAACCCUGACUAUCCUGGAACUCACUGUAGACCAGGCUGUCCUUGAACCCAGUGCCUGCCUCUGCCUCCCAAGUGCAGUGACUAAAGGUGUGUGUGUGCCACUACUGCCCAGUAUGCCUGGGUGCUUUUAAUACUCAUGGGGACACACUGCAGCUUGGUGUGUGUGGCCUCAGUGUUGAAUAUAACUUGAAAGAUAGAAGUGAGUGGUAGCAUGCAGUGAAUUAUGACACUUCUCUCCGGCCAUGUUCUGUCUGCUGCAGGGGCCUGUAAUACAGUGCUUCUCAGCCUUCCUAAUGCUACAAACUUUUAAUACAGUUCUUCAUAUUGUGGUGACCCCCAACUGUAAAAUUAUUUUAUUACUACUUCAUAACUGUAAUUUUACUACUGCUAUAAAUCAUAAUGUAAAUAUCUGUGUUUUCUGAUGGUCUUAGGUGACCCCUAUGAAAACAUCAUUUGACACCCAAAGGGGUCACAAGCCACAGGGUAAAAAUUGCUGCUCUAGGAGGUUGGGGGUGGGCAUCAUUGCAGCGGGGCUUUCUCCAGAACAGUGGGUCCAGCAUCUAUAAAUCCUUCUCUUUUUCUCCAGGGAAUCAUCUUCCUCGGGGCCAAGAGGUUUGAUUCAGCCACAGUCCCAGCUGAGAUUGCCAGAGGAGACCUACAAUAGGAAACUUACUGGCUUUGCUAGGGAAAGAAAUAUCUUGGACCUGUGGGGUCUUUACACUGAAGCCAUAUAGGAGGAAAAGGGUGUUGAGGGCAUGGAAAGUAAAAGAGGGAUAAGAGGUCCCUUAGACACCAGGAGAGCUGAAAAAAAUCUCCCAUGUCUUUAAUGUUGGUCGCUACAAUAAUAAAGCGAAUUCCAAAACCAUAUGGCUUUAUCCUUUUCUAAGAAAGAGAUCAUUUAGUAGACUCACAAAGGAUCUAGCUUUUAGGAAGUCAUAGCCUUGCUAGGAAUUCAUCAUUUUAGUGGACUGAAAUCUACUGGAGCUACAGGUAACUCCCAUUGUGUAAUACCGCAUCAAUCUGACAGCUCCACAUACAGACAAUGAUUACGGCUUAUUCGUUCCUUCUACCGCUCAAUAAAUAUUUAUUGAGUGCUCACUAUGUAUAAGUAGCUCUUUUCUCCAGUUAAAUAUUUAGGCCAUCCUUUGAGCUGUUCCUCACAUCGAAGGGAUUCUGGAUCAUUCCUUCCACUGAGGGAUCCACUGUGCACAUUGUCCUUUUUAACUCCAUGUAGAGCACAGUGGACAAUGACUAUGGCAUCAAUUCACACU
Molecule: long non-coding RNA, 4685 nt
Organism: Mus musculus (house mouse)
Lineage: Eukaryota; Metazoa; Chordata; Mammalia; Rodentia; Muridae
Product: predicted gene, 34069
Exons: 3
Source: RefSeq, a predicted model, not a curated record